RNAcentral lists this long non-coding RNA (1989 nucleotides) under Triticum aestivum (bread wheat). Its description in RNAcentral is "long non-coding RNA (TAES_LNC003723)". Lineage: Eukaryota; Viridiplantae; Streptophyta; Magnoliopsida; Poales; Poaceae. The record is from RNAcentral.
AAGUGGAGAAUUUAAUAGGUUUUAAAAUAAAUAAAUAUAAACACUCAGGGAAACAUUGUUUUUAACUUUACAAUUUAUUUCUGUCACAACAUUACAUAAAGGUAUAAGAACUAAAAAAUAUUGUACCCCUUUCAAAGGGAGUAGUCCAGAUUAUGCCUAAUAUCAUAAUGAUGGCAACAUCUGUAUAGCUACAAUGGAUAUUAUAUGAAGUAGCAUGAAUAGCUGGAGCUCAGGGAAAGGCAAGCAUGAUCGACACCCUCAAAAAAAUUCCCAUUGCCUUUGUGUCAUAUGAGCAAAAAUAAUCUAGUUUUCAGAGUUUAUUGCAUCUUCUGCUGCAAAUUAAGGCCCCAAUGAGUAACACAUCACUAUAUCAUCAAGCACUGAUGCCCAUAUGAACUGGCAUUGAUGUCAUCGUCAUCAAAAUAGCAUGAGUAAAUCAACAGUGAGAUGGAAGUAUAUUAAAUUGACAAAUUACGCCACCUUUAUGAACAAUAUCCAAGUGCCAUGUUGUAAUUGAUCCCAGAUAACCCAUACUACAUGGAUAAUAUACGUGUGUAACUGUGUAAGCGAUCACGGAGCUUUGGCAGUGAAGAAAUAUUUAGUGCCCUGCAAUCAGCUCCUUUCUUCCUCUCUGCAGAAACAGUACAUGAGAAAUUUUGGAAUAUAUAUUCACGAAACAAAAUAUGUUACAAAAUAAGACAAUCUACAGUAAUAAUUUUAGACCACACUUCUUUCUAUACAACCCCACGGUUUCAAAUUUCCUCGAUCAAAUCAUUUUUUCACUUAUGAAUUGACCCAUACAUGUGGCACACAUGUCAUUCUUUCUUGGAUCAUUCUCAAAAAAAUACAAAUACAAAGUAGAGAAUGACAAUCAACUUAUUACUCUAAUCUGCUGAGACAAAUAAAAGGUGAGGCAUCACUCAAUAGAAAAUUAAUGUGUUAUUUCGUAUAGACCACCCGUUUAUUUUUAGGUUGAAGUUUUCCGUCCAAAGAAAGUAGACAAUCAAAUUUGAGCAAAUAAAUAGUACAAUCAAACCUUCUCUUUGACACUACUCUCUUUAUAGUCGAUAGGGGUUGAUUUGACAUGGAUAACUUGAUUGGAUGAUGGUAAGAGUAGUAGCAGCAGCUAUAAACCAUAUCAAGAGCAUUUAUACAGUCCAAAAGCAUGCAAAGAAUAGGGAAUCUUUUUUAAAAAUGGAGCUCAAAUUUGAGAAGGAUUUUCAGUUGUCGCCCAGUCACUAUGACCGGAAGAGGUGUAGGGCCAGCUAAACCACAAUGGAUACAACAGUCAACGACCAGACCACCCAGACGCACCGUUACUUCAACAGAACCAUCUCACUUCUGAAGCACAUCAUCUCCAACAGUCGAAUUCCAAGAUGUCUGACUGCCUACUUGGGAUUGGAGUUACAGGGAGUGCCUAAUUUUUAUGUUUCUAGCUUAAUUCACUUUUCUUCGGGUUCUAGCUCUCAACUAAGUAAUCUAAUGCAGAAUGUUGAUUAGUGUGUUAUCUCUGCUCAUAGCAUUUUUCACGUCUAAUGAAUCUCGUAUGUUUUCAUAUUAUACUCAGAUGAACCAGAUUUUUACAUAAUGCUACUUUUUGGGAGACUGCAUCAGAUGAUUCUUUUGAAGAUGAAGGGCACACGGAGCACCUUUGCCUUGCCAUGGUGCUCAAGAACUUAGUGAAUUUAAGAUUCCAAAAGCAGUCAGGCGAUAUGGUUGGAGCUUCUGCAACACCUCACUACCACCCCGUGGAAACAAUGCCUCUACUCCUCUACCGAGAAUGAAUCUUCCUAAUUAAAAAUCUCUUACAAAAAUAUUCACUGGAGGGGGGAUCAAUAUAACCUAUCUUGAUUCAGAUCCAAAGGAAUAUCAUUCUUGAUUUGGGACGAAGGCAGGGUUCUUGUGUUGAAUUAGCUGAUGAGAAUAUGAGAGAAGGGAGUAGUACCUGCUGGGCGGAAGCGUGACGGCCAUCUGGACGGUUGCUCGCUU